GAGUUUGAUCGUGGCUCAGAUUGAACGCUGGCGGCAUGCCUUACACAUGCAAGUCAAACGGCAGCAUGAUCUAGCUUGCUAGAUUGAUGGCGAGUGGCGAACGGGUGAGUAAUACAUCGGAACGUGCCCUGUAGUGGGGGAUAACUAGUCGAAAGAUUAGCUAAUACCGCAUACGACCUGAAGGUGAAAGUGGGGGACCGCAAGGCCUCAUGCUAUAGGAGCGGCCGAUGUCUGAUUAGCUAGUUGGUGGGGUAAAGGCCCACCAAGGCGACGAUCAGUAGCUGGUCUGAGAGGACGAUCAGCCACACUGGGACUGAGACACGGCCCAGACUCCUACGGGAGGCAGCAGUGGGGAAUUUUGGACAAUGGGCGAAAGCCUGAUCCAGCAAUGCCGCGUGUGUGAAGAAGGCCUCGG
This 415-nucleotide ribosomal RNA is filed under the name uncultured microorganism. Its description in RNAcentral is "bacterial SSU rRNA". It matches the Rfam family "Bacterial small subunit ribosomal RNA", at positions 9 to 420 of the family's 1533-position model. The record is from RNAcentral.